Non-coding RNA from Cricetulus griseus (Chinese hamster), 107 nucleotides. The record is from Rfam. NCBI's taxonomy places the organism in Eukaryota, Metazoa, Chordata, Mammalia, Rodentia, Cricetidae.
CGGAUCCUGCGUUUAGGACGCAGAGGGGGCAGGGAGGACGUGCUACAGCCAUUUUGGCCAUCUUCAGCUCGGGCGGGGCUGUAUUUGCAAUCUGUAACCUGAGGGGA